UAAAAUGAAUUUUGGCCACCCAGAACCUGCCCAAUCUCAUCUGAUCUCGGAAGCUAAGCAGAGUAAGCCUGGUUAGUACUUGGAUGGGAGAAUGUAUACUUAAUCACUCUCAUUAAGAGUAUACUAUGGUGUUUUAA
Aotus nancymaae (Ma's night monkey) is the source of this 137-nucleotide ribosomal RNA. The record is from Ensembl. Lineage: Eukaryota; Metazoa; Chordata; Mammalia; Primates; Aotidae.